RNAcentral lists this long non-coding RNA (578 nucleotides) under Gallus gallus (chicken). RNAcentral describes it as "lncRNA (ENSGALG00010000273.1)". Lineage: Eukaryota; Metazoa; Chordata; Aves; Galliformes; Phasianidae. The record is from RNAcentral.
GAGGACCGCGGGCGGCGCUCUGUCUCCCUGUCUCUAUGGUCGCUGACGCCGCUCUGGCCGCGCGGUUCCUCUUUUCUCCCCGCCUCUUUGCGGUAUCCGCUCCGUGACUCCGCCCCUUCCGGUGGCGCUCUGCCCCGCGCGUCUCUGUGCUCCGGAGUCCUCCAACGCCGUGCGGAGCGGUGAGGAGUUGUGGGGCGGCCCCAUAGAGACGCUCCACUCCGAAGCCCCGCCCACUCCGAGAAGACCACGCCCACAAACAUUCAGACCACGCCCCCUUUGGCUAAGCCCCGCCCAUUCCCCCUUGAAGCCCCGCCCACGGGCCGCCAUGGCCCCGCCCCUUUUGUGGGCGUGGCCGCUGCUGGCCCUGGCGGUGGGCGGGGCGGUGGGCGGGGCUUGCACCGGAAAGAGGUGGAGCCUAACAGGAAGCGGAGCUUUGAGUGAUGGCGCCGGGAACUACUCGGUGAUGGGGGACUGCAUCUGGGUGCUGCACGCCCCCCCUGGGCAGCACACGCUGCUGACGCUGACGGGAACCCAUAGGGACCCCAUAGAGACUCAUAGGGCCCCAAAGGGAGUCACAG